UCUUACCUAAAAAAAGAAGAAAACGUAGCGCAUGUCUGAAACCAUUUUCUCUCGCCAUUACUAUGAAUGUUUCGGUUUUCGGUAACUAAAAUAGAAAGAUUUCAGAAUGAUUUAUUUCUUGGUUUCCAGUUUCUUUACCUUCUGCAACCCAAACCUCCCAGCUCUUAGGUUUGAUUCACUUCUCUUCCAAACAUCGCUUCAUGUUUCUUCUUUUCGGUAACUUCAGAUCCUAAAGUGGCUAUGCUACUGAUAACCGCCUACGAAAGCUCGAAGGUGAAUGUAUCGAUGCCCUCUUUCAUCACGAUGCACAUUAGUUGGUUCUACUAUUCCAGUUCACGGUGCUGGAGGAUGUGAGAUGGAUAUUGCAGAAAGAGAUUUUCCCUGGAAAAUUUCAGGUAUGUAAUGUUCAACAUAAUAAGACUUUGAUAUGUGUAUUUUGUUCUAACAGUUUAAGUGUUCCUGACAUCUGAGAACCUGAUCGAGGGAGUCAUCUUAAUUCUUAAUCUUCAUAUUAUCAUGAUGUCAAUUUUUCAAUCCUGCAAUUCUUUGGUGGCCAAUAAUCCGCCAUGUAACCAAAGUCUGUUUUUCCCGUUUCUGUACCCCAAAGGACUAAUGGAUGGUGAUCGGCGAAAUUUGUGCACAUUCAGUACCAUUUAUCAAGGACUAACGGAUGGUGAUCGGCGACAUUUAUGUUAUUGCAUGAGUGUUCGUCUCAAGAGUUCAAUAUUUUAAUUUUUUUUAUCUGUUUUGGAAUGUGAAUUUAUGUUAACUUUGUUAGCAAAUGUACCUAUUUUAGGUGGAGCCUGUUUGGAAGAAAGAAUGUAGUUGUCCAAUGUGCUACGUAGUUUCAUGUGAGCGUUUGGGAUACUGGUGGCUCCAAGUGCGAUAGACUUGGCUAGACUACCUUUUAUGAGGAACGGAAGUGAAACUCAUACUAAAGUGGUUUGGGGUGAUGGAGAUAGCUGGAAACUACCUCGAAUUAAGAAUUAAAGUGCUAAUUAAUUAAGUUACGCAUACUUGGUACGUUAUCCAUAUCUCUUUUGCAUUUCAGAUUGUAUCUCUAAUCCUUUCCAUUGUGAUGGAAAAAAAAAACAGUUCAUAGGAUCACCGUUUUAAUUAGCUUUAGUUGUCAAGUUUAACCAUAUCCGUAGGUGCUAGCAUCACAUGCCAACAUUUAGUCAUUUCCUAGACACAUCUCUUCUAAGCACCGCACUGAUGGCACAGCUGUAGUGUGUCUAAAUCAAGUGGGAAAGUUGCAUGUUUGAUUCAUGAUAGGUUAACUCCCCCGUAGUAGUUUGAAUGUAUGACAAAUUCAGAAACUUUAUUGAUAACAUGCGUAGCUAAUUUAAACCUUUCAGGUGUGCCAGUAGGUUCGUUUCUUAGAACUUCUUUAUAAACUACCUAACCUUCUAACUGUGAUUCCUGUUUGUUUUGUUAACUACCAUAACAAGAGCAUUUUGUGUCCUUUUGGUGAUUAAAUGAUUUUUAAGUUGUAGAUAGCAAGAAUUCUUCUUAACAGCAGAAUGUGUUUGGUUGAGAAUGAGCAUUGUAUGGUCAUUUAUAUUUUAAAAAGCUUUUGGUAUGAGAUAGUAAACCAUGAUUGUUUAGUUUUUCAAACGCUAAUUUGGGUUCACUAUGAGAUGUUCGAUAAAAAUUCUGACAUAAUCUUCGUUUUUUUGUUUUGUUUUUGUUUUUGGGUGUGCUAUUUGAAAUUCAUUCUUAUAAAAGAACUCAUUCAAUUGGGACUAAUACGAAGAGAUGUGUUCAAAGUCAAAUGUUUUUGCAGGACGCAUAUAAGUGAAUUAAUAUAUUUUGCAUGAUUGUUGCAAUGAAAGCUCCUACAGUGUUCUACCUGAAGGACAUGUGAGCAGAAAGUGGAGAGAAAGGAGUGCUUGAUUAUUACAAUUUUAAUGCCUUUGGUAAGGCAUCCAAACUUAAAAACGGAAAAUGUUGGUUUGAAUGUCAACUUAUUUUAGCAUUUACAUGAGAAAAUUGGAUUUCCCUACCAUGAAAAAUCAAUAGCACCCCAGUUAAUAACCUUAUUUUCAACAACUAGCGAAAAACCCCGCCAUACCGGCAGGGUUCACCAUUCAAUGUUGCGUGAUCAGAUACUCUAUGCAGUAAGGUCGCACCAGAGUGAGAUAUUCUGAAAUGGAAUAUGAUCGGAAUCACAUUGUGGAUUAGUAAAAUAUUGUUCAACGUCAAACUGCCUACUUUGUUGUUGACAAAAGAUGGAACCCCAGACAGCCAAGAUGGAUUCUCUCUGCAAUGGAUACCAGACAUCCAUGAUGGAUUUCCCACAACGGAACGAGAAUGAGGAUAAAGUUAUGCAAAGACGAUGUAAUUGUUGGAUACCAAAAGGGAUUGAGCUAAAAAUUAUAAAAAUAUCAGCCAAAUAUGAUGUAGCUUACUUUUUGCUUAAUAAAAAGGUGUUUUAUAAAAA
Long non-coding RNA from Papaver somniferum (opium poppy), 2443 nucleotides. RefSeq lists it as uncharacterized. The record is from RefSeq and is a predicted model, not a curated record. The transcript has 5 exons. NCBI's taxonomy places the organism in Eukaryota, Viridiplantae, Streptophyta, Magnoliopsida, Ranunculales, Papaveraceae.